RNAcentral lists this ribosomal RNA (343 nucleotides) under uncultured bacterium. Its description in RNAcentral is "bacterial SSU rRNA". It matches the Rfam family "Bacterial small subunit ribosomal RNA", at positions 32 to 368 of the family's 1533-position model. The record is from RNAcentral.
AAUCAACGCUGGCGGCGUGCCUCAGACAUGCAAGUCGAACGAUUAAACUUUCCUUCGGGAAAGAUAUAAAGUGGCGCACGGGUGAGUAACACGUAGGUAAUGUACCUUUGGGUGGGGAAUAACUUAGGGAAACUUAAGCUAAUACCGCAUAAUGCGAUAACUUCUUCGGAAGUAAUGGUUAAAGAUUUAUCGCCUGAAGAGCAGCCUGCGGCAGAUUAGCUAGUUGGUAAGGUAACGGCUUACCAAGGCUACGAUCUGUAACCGACCUGAGAGGGUGGUCGGUCACACUGACACUGAAUAACGGGUCAGACUCCUACGGGAGGCAGCAGUCGGGAAUUUUGGG